This 474-nucleotide ribosomal RNA is filed under the name uncultured bacterium. RNAcentral's name for it is "SSU rRNA". It matches the Rfam family "Bacterial small subunit ribosomal RNA", at positions 26 to 518 of the family's 1533-position model. The record is from RNAcentral.
AGGACGAACGCUGGCGGCGUGCUUAACACAUGCAAGUCGAGCGGAAAGGCCCUUCGGGGUACUCGAGCGGCGAACGGGUGAGUAACACGUGAGUAACCUGCCCUUGGCUCUGGGAUAGCUCCGGGAAACCGGAAUUAAUACCGGAUAUGACUUCGGCCGACAUCGGCUGCGGUGGAAAGAUUUAUCGGCCAGGGAUGGGCUCGCGGCCUAUCAGCUUGUUGGUGGGGUAACGGCCUACCAAGGCGACGACGGGUAGCCGGCCUGAGAGGGCGACCGGCCACACUGGGACUGAGACACGGCCCAGACUCCUACGGGAGGCAGCAGUGGGGAAUAUUGCGCAAUGGGCGAAAGCCUGACGCAGCGACGCCGCGUGGGGGAUGAAGGCCUUCGGGUUGUAAACCCUUUCGGCAGGGACGAAGCGAAAGUGACGGUACCUGCAGAAGAAGCGCCGGCUAACUACGUGCCAGCAGCCGC